UACGGAGGUGGCAAGCGUUGCUCGGAAUCACUGGGCGUAAGGGCGCGUAGGCGGGGAGGUAAGUCGGGUGUGAAAUCCCUCGGCCCAACCGAGGAACUGCGCCCGAGACUGCUUCUCUUGAGUCCCGGAGAGGAAGAUGGAAUUCCCGGUGUAGCGGUGAAAUGUGUAGAGAUCGGGAGGAACACCGGUGGCGAAGGCGGUCUUCUGGACGGUGACUGACGCUGAGGCGCGAAAGCGUGGGGAGCAAACGGG
RNAcentral lists this ribosomal RNA (252 nucleotides) under uncultured bacterium. RNAcentral's name for it is "partial 16S ribosomal RNA". It matches the Rfam family "Bacterial small subunit ribosomal RNA", at positions 524 to 776 of the family's 1533-position model. The record is from RNAcentral.